CUAUGAUAUGCAGAGGGUUAAGGGUGGGCUGGAAGAAGGGAAGCCGCACACACCAAAGGCAGAUUGCUGGGAUGUUAGAAGAGAUCAGCGAUGAAGAAAAAGACAAAGGACAUGGACAGCUGGAGCCUGGAGCCCUAGUGUCUGACCCAGGUUAUAGAAUGAAACAGGUUAAUUUUGUGGACCAAAAUUUCUGAAGCUUCAGAGGAAAAAGAACACAAGACUUCUCUACAAUGCUAUGUUCUAAAUACCUCUUGGCCAGCUAACUGGACAAAGAAAAAGCCUGCUCUGCAUUCCCCCCUCAUGUUUCAAAGAUGACCUGUCAAGACCACAUUAAAAUCUUACAACCAGC
RNAcentral lists this long non-coding RNA (349 nucleotides) under Cricetulus griseus (Chinese hamster). RNAcentral's name for it is "lncRNA (ENSCGRG00015042359.1)". Lineage: Eukaryota; Metazoa; Chordata; Mammalia; Rodentia; Cricetidae. The record is from RNAcentral.